CGGGCGUGCCUAAUACAUGCAAGUCGAACGAACUUCCGUUAAUUGAUUAUGACGUGCUUGCACUGAAUGAGAUUUUAACACGAAGUGAGUGGCGGACGGGUGAGUAACACGUGGGUAACCUGCCCAGAAGCAGGGGAUAACACCUGGAAACAGAUGCUAAUACCGUAUAACAGAGAAAACCGCCUGGUUUUCUUUUAAAAGAUGGCUCUGCUAUCACUUCUGGAUGGACCCGCGGCGCAUUAGCUAGUUGGUGAGGUAACGGCUCACCAAGGCGAUGAUGCGUAGCCGACCUGAGAGGGUAAUCGGCCACAUUGGGACUGAGACACGGCCCAGACUCCUACGGGAGGCAGCAGUAGGGAAUCUUCCACAAUGGACGCAAGUCUGAUGGAGCAACGCCGCGUGAGUGAAGAAGGGUUUCGGCUCGUAAAGCUCUGUUGUUAAAGAAGAACGUGGGUGAGAGUAACUGUUCACCCAGUGACGGUAUUUAACCAGAAAGCCACGGCUAACUACGUG
RNAcentral lists this ribosomal RNA (513 nucleotides) under uncultured Pediococcus sp. RNAcentral describes it as "bacterial SSU rRNA". It matches the Rfam family "Bacterial small subunit ribosomal RNA", at positions 40 to 507 of the family's 1533-position model. Lineage: Bacteria; Bacillati; Bacillota; Bacilli; Lactobacillales; Lactobacillaceae. The record is from RNAcentral.